AAAUUACAAUGAACCAAUGUAGGUCAAAAACACACCAAGCACCAGAUUCGGCGGUUAAUAUAAAGAAUUUGUAACAGUUUGUUGUUCUAUGCAACCUAUAAUGGGGGUUCUGGAUCAACCAAUCCCCAGAGAAAAUUUGGCCCAGGGAACAGUUUCAGCGUCUCCUGGCCAACUUCAUUGACCAUGUUAGUUACUUGGUACAAAUGCAAGUCCCAAUUUUAAAACUCACUGAAAGAAUAAGGACCCAUAAGCACAUGAAGGACAACCAGCUGUGUGACACCAGAGACAAUGUCUUGCCCGUGAAUAAACUCCCCAGUGGCACCAAACUUGUAGGAGUCGGACUUGCAUUGUCUUGCAACAUGCCAAAAGA
Molecule: unclassified non-coding RNA, 370 nt
Filed under: Hevea brasiliensis (rubber tree)
Lineage: Eukaryota; Viridiplantae; Streptophyta; Magnoliopsida; Malpighiales; Euphorbiaceae
Source: RNAcentral